Molecule: ribosomal RNA, 254 nt
Filed under: uncultured bacterium
Lineage: Bacteria
Description: partial 16S ribosomal RNA
Rfam family: Bacterial small subunit ribosomal RNA
Source: RNAcentral
UACGUAUGGGGCAAGCGUUGGUCGGAUUUACUGGGCGUAAAGGGCGCUUAGGCGGCGCGUAAAGUCGGACAUGAAAUCAUUGGGCUUAACCCAAUGGCUGUGCCCGAUUCUUGCGUGCUUAGAGUGCGGGAGAGGCAAUCGGAAUUCUCGGUGUAGCGGUGAAAUGCGUAGAAAUCGAGAGGAACUCCAGUGACGAAGGUGGGUUGCUGGACCGCCACUGACUAUGAGGCGCGAAAGCUAGGGGAGCAAACGGG